Molecule: long non-coding RNA, 348 nt
Organism: Dromiciops gliroides (monito del monte)
Lineage: Eukaryota; Metazoa; Chordata; Mammalia; Microbiotheria; Microbiotheriidae
Exons: 3
Source: RefSeq, a predicted model, not a curated record
GAGCCGGGGAGGGAGUCUGAGCAGAAAUCUGUAGCCCAGGAUGUCUGACUUUCUGUCAGCCGUCUCUGAUUAACGGGCUGCCUUCCAGCUCCGAGCCGGCUGCGUUCCUGGCAACAGAGCCCCGAAGCUUCCUGGCGGGGGCGGGGCCUGCUGAAAGGUUACAUUUGCACAAUGCGCCUCUGUUCAGUGAUCCUGCCAGGAUGCCUGAAGGACCCAGUGAGAUGUAGUAGGAAGAAGGUUAUAUUUUAAAAUUUGGAGGCAGGUAGUAAAUGUCCAUGUUUUACCUUCUGGCCUGAUCGUUCACUCUGAAAUUCAGUAUUGCCUUAGGUGAGUUCUCAUCAUCUGUCU